AUGUUCAUGUUUCCUACAGUAAAAGUUCCUGGUGAUACCACAGAGAGUCUCGUGUGUUCAUUCAGGAGCGGCUGUGGUGAGCUGACACUAAGCCAAGAAUACGGACACCAUCCCGCUGUAGCGGUGAGGUGUAACAUGCAAGUGGAGGAUGAAGAGCUCUUGGGCGCCGGAGGAGGAAGGUCGGAAAGGGCCACUCCCGAGACGGACGCUGAGUUCCACCAGCUGGCGGCCCUGGCGUCAUCCACCGCUUAUGCCCAGCCAAAUGGGGUAACCCAGAGGCGCGGAGUGGUGCGAGGAGAUAGCACCGGAGGAGAGGAAGGUUCACCUUCCCCAGGCCCGCAAAAGAUGGUGUUUCUGGAGGAGAGGAUGUCGGCGAUGGAGACCACCCUGGCAGUGAUGUCGAGGGCGAUGGAGCGCCUGGCGGUUUUGGCGGAGCCGGAGCGAGGAAGGGAACUCCGGGCUAGCUCAAUGUGGGACGUGAGCAUGGGAAGCAGCCAGGGCUUUGCAGACCUCCCAGCACCGAAGGGAAGGGAAAUGCGAAAGGAGCCCGGUGCCCGGCCCAAGAUCCAAACGAGCCUGACGCGGGUGGAGGAGAGUGACGACGAAGGGGAAAAGCCUCCGAGAAUCCCGGCUACGCUCCCAACUGAGACCCUGGUGCCCCUGGCGAAUGCCGGGCGUGGCACAGGACAAAGGGAAGCAGCAGCGGGGCCCACUGGCCCGCAAGGGGGCUUGCGACGGGCGGAGAAUUGGGGAUUGCCACCACAGGGACCCCUACCGAGACGAGAGGAACUAAGGAUCGAGUUUGGGGGAGAGUCCUCUGAACUGGAUUUUUUCCUGACCACGGUGAGGGGCUAUAUGGAGGACAAUGCCCACACUUUUAGAACGGAAUCCAGCCGGGUACGGGCCAUUGGUGCAGUGUUGAAGAGGGGAGCGGCCAGCUGGUACGUUCAACUACACGCGCGGCGCGACCCAUGUCUGGGGUCACUCCGACGCUUUAUGGGGGCCCUGGAGACCCGUUUCCGAGAUCCACUGGAGCAGAUCCGGGCGAGGGAGGAGUUGAAGACCGUCUCCCAGGGGCAGAGGUCGGUAUCUGAGUAUGCGGAGGAGUUCCAAUGCCUCGCUGAAAAGGUGCCGGAAUGGUCUGCAGUGACAAAGAUAGAACUCUUCAAAGAGGGGCUCAGGCGGGAGAUCCUCUCCUGGGCGGUGCAUCGUGAUGAGCCUGACACACUGCGCGGAUGGAUUCAGCUGGCGGGGCGCAUCGAGACAUCGCUGGCCCAGGCGAGGAGGCACCGAGGAGGGCUACAGCAGCGGCCGCAGAUGAAAGAGGGGAGCCGGAAGGAGGGAUCAACCCCAGCCGGGAGGAGAACGGAGCCGACAGGGAACGUGAGCACCAGCAGGAGGGGCUGCUUCGUGUGCGGCCGUUUGGGCCACAGGGCUGCCGAGUGCUGGCAGAGAAAAGGGGAAGGCGGAGGCCCGCCCAAACCAAGAGCCGUGGCAGGGAAACGCGCCGAGGAAGAACCACCGAUGAGGCACCACUCGGGGGGGUUGGUAAGUCAGGACAAAGCCAUGAUAGUGGUCCCCAUUCAGCUGGAAAGUGGCAGCAAACAAGCAACCUGCAAAGCAUUUGUGGAUUGUGGAUGUUCCAGGAACAUCAUCUCCCCUGAAUUAGCCGAGGGAUUGGGAUGCGAAAGAACGAACCUAGAAUCCCCAAUAGCUUUUUCGCAGUUGGACGGAUCCACAGCAUCGGGAUCAUUAGCUAAGUACAGUGCCGAAGAUGUAAAGUGUAAGAUAGGGAGUUGGAAGGAAAGGUGUCAU
Long non-coding RNA from Anolis carolinensis (green anole), 1815 nucleotides. The record is from Ensembl. Lineage: Eukaryota; Metazoa; Chordata; Lepidosauria; Squamata; Anolidae.